GCCGAUGUAGCUCAGCUGGCUAGAGCAACUGACUUGUAAUCAGUAGGUCGUGGGUUCGAGUCCCACCAUCGGCU
Molecule: transfer RNA, 74 nt
Filed under: Pseudomonadota bacterium
Lineage: Bacteria; Pseudomonadati; Pseudomonadota
Also listed under: 3 other names
Description: tRNA-Thr
Rfam family: tRNA
About the family: Transfer RNA (tRNA) molecules are approximately 80 nucleotides in length. Their secondary structure includes four short double-helical elements and three loops (D, anti-codon, and T loops).
Source: RNAcentral